AGUGAACGCUGGCGGUAGGCCUAACACAUGCAAGUCGAACGGCAGCACAGUAAGAGCUUGCUCUUACGGGUGGCGAGUGGCGGACGGGUGAGGAAUACAUCGGAAUCUACUUUUUCGUGGGGGAUAACGUAGGGAAACUUACGCUAAUACCGCAUACGACCUACGGGUGAAAGCAGGGGAUCUUCGGACCUUGCGCGAUUGAAUGAGCCGAUGUCGGAUUAGCUAGUUGGCGGGGUAAAGGCCCACCAAGGCGACGAUCCGUAGCUGGUCUGAGAGGAUGAUCAGCCACACUGGAACUGAGACACGGUCCAGACUCCUACGGGAGGCAGCAGUGGGGAAUAUUGGACAAUGGGCGCAAGCCUGAUCCAGCCAUACCGCGUGGGUGAAGAAGGCCUGCGGGUUGUAAAGCCCUUUUGUUGGGAAAGAAAAGCAGCAGGUUAAUACCCCGCUGUUCGGACGGGACCCAAAGAAUAAGCACCGGCGAACUUCGG
This 491-nucleotide ribosomal RNA is filed under the name uncultured bacterium. RNAcentral describes it as "partial 16S ribosomal RNA". It matches the Rfam family "Bacterial small subunit ribosomal RNA", at positions 29 to 506 of the family's 1533-position model. The record is from RNAcentral.